RNAcentral lists this ribosomal RNA (253 nucleotides) under uncultured bacterium. Its description in RNAcentral is "partial 16S ribosomal RNA". It matches the Rfam family "Bacterial small subunit ribosomal RNA", at positions 524 to 776 of the family's 1533-position model. The record is from RNAcentral.
UACAGAGACUGCAAGCGUUGUUCGGAUUCAUUGGGCGUAAAGGGUGCGUAGGCGGUGAGGUAAGUUGGAUGUGAAAUCCCAAGGCUUAACCUUGGAAGUGCAUCCAAAACUCCCUCGCUCGAGGACUGGAAGGGAGACUGGAAUUCUCGGUGUAGCGGUGAAAUGCGUAGAUAUCGAGAGGAACACCGGUGGCGAAGGCGGGUCUCUGGACAGUUCCUGACGCUGAGGCACGAAAGCCAGGGUAGCAAACGGG